CCAAACUGGAUGUUGACAGUGACACCCAGCCCACCCUCACGGUCCUGCCCCCCUCCAGCGUGGAGCUGCAGCAGGGGAAAGCCACACUCAUGUGUCUGGCCAACAAGGGCUUCCCCUCAGACUGGAAGCUAAGUUGGAAGGUGGAUGGUAAGAGUUGGAGUUCAGGGGUGAGCUCCAGCCCUGGGGUUUUACAGAAGGACGGUCUCUACAGCUGGAGCAGCACCCUCACCCUCCAGGAGGAGCAGUGGAGUAAGAUGUCAGUGACCUGUGAGGCCACACAGGGCUCCCAGUCUGCAGUGACCCAGACACUGACGAAAGACCAGUGUUCUGAGUAG
This is a non-coding RNA of Chanos chanos (milkfish), 335 nucleotides long. The record is from the annotation of a RefSeq genome assembly. Lineage: Eukaryota; Metazoa; Chordata; Actinopteri; Gonorynchiformes; Chanidae.